AAGGCUUCAGCACGACAAUGUCAGAACUAUAAGUCUCAAAGCCCCGACGAGUAGGGUGGCGUGCCGGUGAGCGUUGAAGGCCAAGACGUGAGUCAGGCUGGAGCCGCCGGUAGUGCAGAUCUUGGUGGUAGUAGCAAGUACUCUGGUGAACCAACCUGGAGCUGUGAGGUCUGGAUUAGGGUUCCAUGUCAACAGUGAUUGAACAUGGGUGAGUCGAUCCUAAGCCAACUGUGAAAGCAGUGACAUCCCGACAAAGGGGCUCGUACGGCACUUACACCCCCGCUCUAUCUCUCUCUCGGUCUCACUCUCUGGAAGGAAAAGCACGCGGUGGUGGUGCGCGCGCGCUCAAGCACACAGUGAUCACAAAGUGUGAGUGUGUUGCUGCUCUCUGUCUGUCUGUCUGGUUACGCUCAAAAGCGUUAUGCACAAGUGAGAGAGAAAAAAGCGGGUGCGCGUGAGUCGUCUCGUAUGUGGUGGCUUCUGCGUCUGGUUCUAUGUCUGGCGAAAGGGAAUGGGGACUUUGUUCCUUGACCGGUCCCGGCACCCUCGAUAGGCUUUGCCAAUCAAUGGUCCAUGCAAAUGGAACCAGGCCACAGCCGCCGGCAGUCGCCCGAGGAAGAAUUUUCUUUUCUGCUUAACGCACGAGAUCAUCCCUGGAAACAGUUCGGCUGGCGAAAGGGUGCCCCGUUGCGGCAGAGCGCCACGACUGUCGUGCGCGUCUCGGUGUUCCUUCCGGUCCGUGAAGACGUGGUCGAGGGGUUUGCUAUUCUUGUACAAACAAAACGCCCGACAAGUUCGGGACGGACCGUACCCUAUAUCCGCAUCUGGUCUCCAAGGUUCGUAGCCUCUGCAGAGUCAGACACAUGUAGGUAAGGGAAGUCGGCAAACUCGAUCCGUAACUUCGGGAAAAGGAUUGGCUCUGAGGGCCGAGCUGGGCCGGGCCUUGCCUGCAAAGCAGUACCUAUAGUGACCGGAGUUUCAGGAGUGCGAGGGGCUCUAGUAGCUGUCCGCGUUCGCGCGGGCACGAACGGGUCUACCGCUCCGCUCCAACCACGAACGGCUGUGACGGCAAGGGCUCUGGGCGGGAGCGUUCAAACCGUUUACCCCCAGCGCGUCUGGGCGGGGCGGUGCUUCGUCUGACCCAUACGGCUCCAGCGGCUAGCGGCUAACUCAGAACUGUCAUGGACCAAGGGAAUCCGACUGUCUAAUUAAAACAAAGCGUCGUGACGGCCCCUGUUGGGUGUUGACGCGACGUGAUUUCUGCCCAGUGCUCUAA
Molecule: ribosomal RNA, 1276 nt
Filed under: Niphargus laisi
Lineage: Eukaryota; Metazoa; Arthropoda; Malacostraca; Amphipoda; Niphargidae
Description: partial 28S ribosomal RNA
Rfam family: Eukaryotic large subunit ribosomal RNA
Source: RNAcentral